AUACGGAGGGGGUUAGCGUUGUUCGGAAUUACUGGGCGUAAAGCGUACGUAGGCGGAUUAGUAAGUUAGAGGUGAAAUCCCAGGGCUCAACCCUGGAACUGCCUUUAAUACUGCUAGUCUAGAGUUCGAGAGAGGUGAGUGGAAUUCCAAGUGUAGAGGUGAAAUUCGUAGAUAUUAGAAAGAAUACCAAUUGCGAAGGCAGCUUUCUGGAUCAUUACUGACACUGAGGAACGAAAGCAUGGGUAGCGAAGAGGAUUAGAUACCCUCGUAGUCCAUGCCGUAAACGAUGUGUGUUAGACGUUGGAAAUUUAUUUUCAGUGUCGCAGCGAAAGCGAUAAACACACCGCCUGGGGAGUACGACCGCAAGGUUAAAACUCAAAUGAAAUUGACGGGGACCCGCACAAGUAGUGGAGCAUGUGGUUUAAUUCGAAGAUACGCGCAGAACCUUACCAACACUUGACAUGUCGUCGCGACUCUAAGAGAUUAGAGUUUUCGGUUCGGCCGGACGAAACACAGGUGCUGCAU
Molecule: ribosomal RNA, 525 nt
Filed under: uncultured Nereida sp.
Lineage: Bacteria; Pseudomonadati; Pseudomonadota; Alphaproteobacteria; Rhodobacterales; Roseobacteraceae
Description: bacterial SSU rRNA
Rfam family: Bacterial small subunit ribosomal RNA
Source: RNAcentral